UCGGGGACAAGGUGACAGGUGGUGCAUGGUUGUCGUCAGCUCGUGUCGUGAGAUGUUGGGUUAAGUCCCGCAACGAGCGCAACCCUUAUUACUAGUUGCCAGCAUUCAGUUGGGCACUCUAGUGAGACUGCCGGUGACAAACCGGAGGAAGGUGGGGAUGACGUCAAAUCAUCAUGCCCCUUAUGACCUGGGCUACACACGUGCUACAAUGGCGUAUACAACGAGUUGCCAACCCGCGAGGGUGAGCUAAUCUCUUAAAGUACGUCUCAGUUCGGAUUGUAGGCUGCAACUCGCCUACAUGAAGUCGGAAUCGCUAGUAAU
Molecule: ribosomal RNA, 321 nt
Filed under: uncultured Weissella sp.
Lineage: Bacteria; Bacillati; Bacillota; Bacilli; Lactobacillales; Lactobacillaceae
Description: bacterial SSU rRNA
Rfam family: Bacterial small subunit ribosomal RNA
Source: RNAcentral